This 115-nucleotide ribosomal RNA is filed under the name Octodon degus (degu). The record is from RNAcentral. Lineage: Eukaryota; Metazoa; Chordata; Mammalia; Rodentia; Octodontidae.
GUCUACAGUCGUAGCACCCUGAAUGCGCCCGAUCUCGUCUGAUCUCAGAAGCGAAGCAGGGUGGGGCCUGGCUAGCACUUGGGUGGGAGGUAUGAACAUGCUAGGUGGCUGUACC